UACGUAGGGUGCGAGCGUUAAUCGGAAUUACUGGGCGUAAAGCGUGCGCAGGCGGUUUUGUAAGGCAGAUGUGAAAUCCCCGAGCUUAACCUGGGAAUGGCAUUUGGGACUGCAAGGCUCGAGUGCGGCAGAGGAGACUGGAAUUCCUGGUGUAGCAGUGAAAUGCGUAGAUAUCAGGAGGAACACCGAUGGCGAAGGCAGGUCUCUGGGCUGACACUGACGCUCAUGCACGAAAGCGUGGGGAGCAAACAGG
This 253-nucleotide ribosomal RNA is filed under the name uncultured bacterium. RNAcentral's name for it is "partial 16S ribosomal RNA". It matches the Rfam family "Bacterial small subunit ribosomal RNA", at positions 524 to 776 of the family's 1533-position model. The record is from RNAcentral.